Ornithorhynchus anatinus (platypus) is the source of this 2756-nucleotide long non-coding RNA. RefSeq lists it as uncharacterized. The record is from RefSeq and is a predicted model, not a curated record. The transcript has 5 exons. NCBI's taxonomy places the organism in Eukaryota, Metazoa, Chordata, Mammalia, Monotremata, Ornithorhynchidae.
UAGCAUACCAUUAAAAAAAAAGUCUCUUCCCCUCUUGACAGAAUUCUCUGGGGGGAUUAGAGAGAGAAGAAAAAUUACUUUCUCCCCACUUGAAGAAGAUAUUAAGAGGAUGAUGGAACUGCCUUAUUGUGAGCCCCUCGAGGGACAGGGUCUGGGUCUAAUUCCCCCUUGGGCCCCCUUUGCCAUUACUUUCAACCCCAUCCUGUCCAUCCCCAGCCCCCUCCCCAUCUUUCCAGCCACAGACUUUGCCAUGGGUGCAGAGUAUGAAGUUGCUUUUAAUAUGAAAACAUGCCUCUUUCAAAGGAAUGAAUGAAUCAAUCGUAUUCAUUGAGCGCUUACUAUGUGCAGAGCAGUCUACUAAGCGCUUGGGAGAGAACAACAGAAUUAGCAGACAUUCCCUGCCCGUAACCGGCUUACCCCAUAUAGCCUUUCCUAAGAGGAGUGGGCUGCGUUUUUUCUCUAUGACUUUGAUAAUUUUCAGUAAGAACGAAGAUUGGCUUUUGGUGGCGAAUUAUACCCAGACCGAGAAAGCCAAAUGAUGAAUAUAGUUGUGCGCAGCAAGCGAAGCCCGGUGUGGCCUGGAUUUCAAAACCAGAUAAAGCGUGCAGUGACCGAAGGGAUUUUAAGUGCGUUCUACCGUGAAUCCGUUUCUGCUAAUUCCCGACUCAACCACCUAUCGAAUGCCAUCUGUACGAAUUAGAUUGGUUCCUGGAUCAUAAGUAGGGCGAUCCAUUUCCAAGUGACGUACUUUCAGCCUCUUCCCUAGUGACUUCCAAAAGCUCAUGGCUACAUCUGCUGGGUUCUUGGGGAAGUGAGUGCUCUUAGUGAAUAGGUUCAGUACCUUAGGCCAUUAAAAAUAUCAGUGGUCCUUGAGCAAAAUGACAAAAUUUUACAAUCUGUGUAAACCUCCAAUAAAGCCACGUGAUCUAUGACUUUGAAACGUUUGGGUUUCAAGUGUUUCCGCGAUCUUUUGUGUCCAACUAAGUCUCCUUAAUGGGAACCCAAGCAUCCUGCUACGACGGGAAAUCUAAAGGGAUUUGAAAGCGCCGGAUCAAGCAUCGCUAAUCCAAGGGCACGAUCUCAUCUGCCACCCGGGAGGUGAGCUCCAUCUCAGCAGGGGAAGUAUCAUCCCUCUUAUUACUACAAAGGAUAGAGGCUGGGGAUCUCUGACGGCAAUAACCAUCCAAGAACAGCAGCUGUAAAUCAGGCAUUUGCUCCGAAAAAGAAACAUCCGUGGUCACCCAUCGAACUGUAGAGAGCCGCCCCGCGGAUGAUUCGAUACCCACGCCACCUGAGCAGCCCGCGGUGACCGGGGCCUCGACUGCUCAAGAAAGGAACGCCCGGCGCCCGCUCGGCCUCCCCGCGGCCGAGAUCCGCGGCUUCGUCGAUUCCAGGCCGGGUGGCCGCGACCGCGCAACGCCGCCGAGUCCUCAUUUGGGAUCUGUAACGGGAACCCAGCUGAAGUGGUAAAGCCAAGCCGACCUCGACCUGCAAGCUGCGAAGCAACAGCCCGAGUUGCUCAGAUGUGUCUUUCGUGUUUGGAUAAUUCAAAUAACUGAUAAUGCUUUCGGUUAAAUCUCCCCAUCUUCAGAAUUCCCCACAGCUCCUGUUGACCGACGGAGAAUGUGGAUGCUAGGGUGGCCGCUUUCAGGUUUGGCUCGACGAGAGGCUUGGGAAAAUUGCCCACUUCUUUCUUGUCCUGGUGGUAGUCGGUCGGUGGAAGGAGAACGGCUCUGGGAAUCGGGAAUCCUGGAUCCUAGCCGAAUCCCGCAAAUAGGGGAAUGCCCGCUGGCGUUCACCAAUACGUCGGUGAAGGCGUGUCGCACCCGCCGCCAACGUCAACAGGGGCUGUGGAAAACGGGCAAGGGCCGAGGGAAACGGUUCGGCCGAGAAAAGCUCCGACAGGCUGACGGGACGGCCCCGCAGAUGGAUUCAGACAGAUCGCAGAAUGGCUUUCAGGGUCCUCGCCGCUUCGUCGAGGGUGGCCGUGGAGACUGGACGUGCCGAAGCGGCCCCUUUACGCAGCUUUGUUCCCCCUCGCGUCCCCCCGCUUCCGUGGCUUCCCUUUCCUCCGUGUCACCUCAGAUUACGCUGAAUCUCUGUGUGGCCGAGGCCAGCUUCCUCGCCGCUUUCUACCCGCUCCAACACGCGUUCGCAUCAUUUCCUCCCGACUAGGAGCACUCCACCUUUGCUUUGCCAGACCACAUCCCUCUCCCUCUCUCAAAGCUCUAUUAAAUACAAAGGCUCAGACGAUGCUGCCUCCUAGCUGAAAACGGCUAGUCAGUUGCUGAGGAAGAGCCGCUCGGGGCACGGCCACCAAGGAGGGAGCGGCUCUCCAAGGAGAAGCUGCGGAAGGAAGGAGACCGGAAGGCGAAAGAGAAAACAGUGCCGGGCACCGCAAACAAGUGAGGCCAACCAAAAAGGGAUGACGUUUUUGUGGCUGCAGGACUGCAGGUCCCACAGUGGCCUUUUCGACCGGACACUCGCUCAGAGGCGGCUUUCACCAUCAGCGGUGUCGUCAGCUAAUAUGGCGGACGGUUCUACGUGAACUAAAAACGCACCUUAUCCGUGAAGCCUCCUCCCGUUCCCCUUCGUUCUCCUCUCUUUCCCCUCUUCUCUGGGUAUAAAACUGCCCACACCAACCAUCCCGGCACGUGUUUCGCUUUAAAAGCAUAUGAGUGUAUUUUUGCUGUUUUGCCGAUUGUUAUCUUGGCACUUAUUAAGUAUUUACUGCCUGUCAUGCACUGUACUAAGUA